GGCAUUGGACUGGGGUUUAGCGUGUAGAGGAUAGCUGGGAGGCUUUGAAGCUCGGGCGUCAGCUCGGGUGGAGCCAACAGUGGAAUACCAGCCUCGUUGAACUUUAGCUCUAACGGUGCCCCUGAUCGGGGUUCCGGACAGUGCCUGGUGGGUAGUUUGACUGGGGCGGUCGCCUCCCAAAAAGUAACGGAGGCGCCCAAAGGUUCCCUCAGCCUGGGCGGAAAUCAGGCGCAGAGUGCAAUGGCAUAAGGGAGCUUGACUGUGAGACUUACAAGUCGAGCAGGGACGAAAGUCGGGCAUAGUGAUCCGACGGCCCGGUGUGGAAUGGCCGUCGCUCAACGGAUAAAAGUUACCCCGGGGAUAACAGGCUUAUCGGGCCCAAGAGUUCACAUCGACGGCCCGGUUUGGCACCUCAAUUUGGGGUGAAACGGCAGAAAUGCCGUAAUGGAAUCGGCUUAUAACGGUGAACCCCUAACCGCCGCCAUCCACAUUGGCGCGGUGGGCAAUACCGUGGGAAGUCGUCUCGCGUGAGAGAUUGACCCCGUAACGACUGUGGCUUGCACCACGGUGGCAGUUCGUGCCAUACAACGGCAAAUCUAUGACUGCCACAACACGCCGACCCCUCGCUUGAAAGGGCAGGGUGAAGAGAUAGUCUGCGCUGCUGGAAACAGCAGAGAACGUGCGAUGUCGGCUCGUCGCAUCCUGGGGCUGGAGUCGGUCCCAAGGGUUGGGCUGUUCGCCCAUUAAAGCGGUACGCGAGCUGGGUUUAGAACGUCGUGAGACAGUAAGGGAAAUUGCUGUCUAUAAAUCUGGCCAAAUGCUGGAAAAUCCGGUGCAUCCCUCACUACCUGCAGCCGAGCUGCCGGUGAAAACGUGUAGGGUGCGGACGAUCAGCAGGAAAGACUGGAUGGCCAUCUAGCCAUCCGGAAUCCUCAGAGACUGUACGCCGGACGGAAUCGGUUUCCGAAGAUACAGUCCGAGCUGCAUGGCGACAUGCAGAGCCGGGCAGAAAUGCCCCGGCCCGCGAUUAGAUAGAUGUCGCGGUAACAAAUCUGUCGGUCCCUAUCCGCCGUGGGCGCAGGAGACUUGAGGAGAGUUGACCCUAGUACGAGAGGACCGGGUUGAACGGCCCGCUAGUGUACCGGUUGUCACGCCAGUGGCAGCGCCGGGUAGCCAUGGCCGGUUCUGAUAAGCGCUGAAAGCAUCUAAGUGCGAAGCAGACUCCAAGAUAAGGUCUCCCACUGGGUUAACCAGGUAAGGGCCCUAGUAGACCACUAGGUUGAUAGGCCGGAGGUGUAAGAGCAGCAAUGCUUUGAGCUGACCGGUACUAAUAGCCCGAGGGCUUGUUCACCUAUAACUCACUCU
Molecule: ribosomal RNA, 1365 nt
Filed under: Chloroflexota bacterium
Lineage: Bacteria; Bacillati; Chloroflexota
Description: Chloroflexi bacterium partial 23S ribosomal RNA
Rfam family: Bacterial large subunit ribosomal RNA
Source: RNAcentral